This 253-nucleotide ribosomal RNA is filed under the name uncultured bacterium. Its description in RNAcentral is "partial 16S ribosomal RNA". It matches the Rfam family "Bacterial small subunit ribosomal RNA", at positions 524 to 776 of the family's 1533-position model. The record is from RNAcentral.
UACGUAGGUGGCAAGCGUUGUCCGGAUUUAUUGGGUUUAAAGGGUGCGUAGGCGGCUUUGUAAGUCAGUGGUGAAAUACUCCAGCUCAACUGGAGAGGUGCCAUUGAUACUGCAGAGCUAGAGUACUGAUGAGGUAGGCGGAAUGGACGGUGUAGCGGUGAAAUGCUUAGAUAUCGUCCAGAACACCGAUCGCGAAGGCAGCUUACUACAGAGUAACUGACGCUGAGGCGCGAAAGUGUGGGGAUCAAACAGC